Molecule: ribosomal RNA, 277 nt
Filed under: uncultured bacterium
Lineage: Bacteria
Description: partial 16S ribosomal RNA
Rfam family: Bacterial small subunit ribosomal RNA
Source: RNAcentral
AAUGAACGUUGGCGGCGUGGAUUAGGCAUGCAAGUCGUACGGGCCGCAAGGCCAGUGGCGCAAGGGUGAGUAAGGCGACGGCAACCAACCCCAUGGCUGGGUAUAGCCGCGGGAAACCGCGGGUAAUCCCCAGCGACGCAUCGGGCCGGCAUCGGCCCGCUGCCAAAGCUCCGGCGCCGUGGGACGGGCCGUCGUGGUAUUAGGUAGUUGGCGGGGUAACGGCCCACCAAGCCGACGAUGCCUACCGGGCGUGCGAGCGUGGCCCGGCACACUGGGA